This 65-nucleotide transfer RNA is filed under the name Dipodomys ordii (Ord's kangaroo rat). It matches the Rfam family "tRNA". Rfam says of the family: Transfer RNA (tRNA) molecules are approximately 80 nucleotides in length. Their secondary structure includes four short double-helical elements and three loops (D, anti-codon, and T loops). The record is from Rfam by way of RNAcentral. Lineage: Eukaryota; Metazoa; Chordata; Mammalia; Rodentia; Heteromyidae.
GGUGGCUCAGUGGGAGAGUGCUUGCCUUGCAUGCAUGAGGACCUGGGUUCGAUUCCUCAGCACCA